This 199-nucleotide ribosomal RNA is filed under the name Picocystis salinarum. RNAcentral describes it as "partial Bacterial large subunit ribosomal RNA". It matches the Rfam family "Bacterial large subunit ribosomal RNA", at positions 1325 to 1526 of the family's 2925-position model. The record is from RNAcentral. Lineage: Eukaryota; Viridiplantae; Chlorophyta; Picocystophyceae; Picocystales; Picocystaceae.
GAAACCCCCUCCCCGAUAGACUAAGGUUUCCUGCUCAACGCUAAUCGGAGCAGGGUUAGUCGGGACCUAAGGCUAAGCCGAGAGGCUACGUCGAUGGACAGCUAGUUGAUAUUCUAGCACCUAGGAUUUGGAGUGAUGCAGUGACGCAGGAGUGAAAGUACCGCGAGCGGACGGAAGUGCUCGUUGAAGGGCGUAGGUA